This 718-nucleotide long non-coding RNA is filed under the name Marmota monax (woodchuck). The record is from RNAcentral. Lineage: Eukaryota; Metazoa; Chordata; Mammalia; Rodentia; Sciuridae.
GGCUCGCCCGAGUGGACACCCCGUGUGCCGCGACGGGCUGAUGGCCCAGGAGAGGACAGCCAGCGGAGGCCUGGAGCUGGUGGCCUGUGGGAGGGGCUGCAGAGAGCACUGUGCCAACUAGGCAGGGCAGAGUGCGGGGCCGUGGCUGCUCCCCUGGCCCAGCCCAGCCUUGAAUGUGGCUCCUGAUCCUCCAUGCCCACAGCCCUGGGCGGCGGCCGUGGGGAAGGGCAGGGCAGUACCUUCCCAUGCCACUGCAGCCCCUGGCCACACAGUGGGCUGUGCAGAGUGACUGGAGUAUGCUCCCUCGGGUUCUGGAGGUGGGCAUCUGAGUCCCAGCUGUCCCGGCCUCUGCCUCCCGAGGCUCCCGGAGGCCCGCCUGCCUCUCCCGGCUCCUGCUAGCUCCCGAGGGCUCCACCUAGCGGGUGGCCCAUCGUGCACGUCUUCAGGCAGCGUCUCUAGAUCUCCCCACUCUGUCCUCACCUCCCCUUCUCCUCCAUGAGUUAACCACAGUCUAGUCCCUUCUAGAUUGCGAUCACACCUGCCACCCCCCAGCCAGACCCAGCCCAACUGGGGCCCCUAACCCUUCCUUCCUGUCCUUCUGUGGCUGCUUGUGCACCUGGUUUCUCCUCUUCUCAGGACUCGAUGAUCUACUGACUCAGGUCCACCUCCUGUGUCCAGGGGGCCGUGUCCAGGCUGCCCCAGAACUUGGCCCUGUUCC